CUACGGGGCGCUCCAGUGAGGAAUCUUCCACAAUGGACGAAAGUCUGAUGGAGCGACACCGCGUGAAGGAUGAAGGCCUAACGGUUGUAAACUUCUUUUCUGAAGGAGCAUAAUGAGAGUACUUCAGGAAUAAGGGACGGCUAAAUACGUGCCAGCAGGCCGCGGUAAUACGUAUGUCCCAAGCGUUACCCGGAAUCACUGGGUGUAAAGGGUUCGUAGGUGGUUUGGAAAGUUGGGUAUGAAAGACCGGGGCUUAACUCCGAGUUUGUGCUCAAAACUAUCAAACUAGAAUUAGGGAGAGGUAAGCGGAAUUCUAAGUGUAGGGGUGCAAUCCGUAGAUACUUAGAGGAACACCAAAAGCGAAGGCAGCUUACUGGGACUAUAUUGACGCUAAAGAACGAAAGCGUGGGUAGCGAAAAGGAUUAGAUACCCUGGUAGUC
Molecule: ribosomal RNA, 440 nt
Filed under: uncultured bacterium
Lineage: Bacteria
Description: partial 16S ribosomal RNA
Rfam family: Bacterial small subunit ribosomal RNA
Source: RNAcentral